UACGUAGGCGGGAAAUUAAGUCAGUAGUGAAAUCCCACAGCUUAACUGUGGAACUGUUAUUGAUACUGGUUUUCUUGAAUAUAGUUGAGGUAGGCGGAAUGUGUAAUGUAGCGGUGAAAUGCUUAGAUGUUACACAGAACACCGAUUGCGAAGGCAGCUUACUAAGCUAUGAUUGACGCUGAGGUACGAAAGCGUGGGGAGCGAACAGAAUUAGAUACCCUGGUAGUCC
RNAcentral lists this ribosomal RNA (229 nucleotides) under uncultured bacterium. RNAcentral describes it as "partial 16S ribosomal RNA". It matches the Rfam family "Bacterial small subunit ribosomal RNA", at positions 568 to 796 of the family's 1533-position model. The record is from RNAcentral.